Molecule: long non-coding RNA, 1682 nt
Organism: Camelus dromedarius (Arabian camel)
Lineage: Eukaryota; Metazoa; Chordata; Mammalia; Artiodactyla; Camelidae
Exons: 10
Source: RefSeq, a predicted model, not a curated record
UGUUGGUGCUGCUAUGGCUAAAACAUUCAAGUACCUGAAACAUCCAGAUACAGAUGUAAUGCUAAUUACAGAGUUUCAUCGGAGUUUUUGAAGUUUUGAAUUUGAAGUCAUGUAAAAACACCAAAAGUUGCCUUUUAUAAGUCCACAAAGCAUUUGAAUAUCUUUAAUAGAAGAAUGGUAAACUCUCCUCCACCUGAAGAAAUGUUUGAUCUGAGUGAAUACCAUGAGAUGGUUGCAAAGAAUGAGAUCCCUAAUUCAUGGCUUUAGGAAACCUAAUCUUUAUUUCAAGCUGGAAGACGCAGCCCAGGAUUUUCUUAAUGCUCAGGUCCACCCCAUCGCCAGUCCAUGAGAAAUGUAUCUGCCACAGCUCACGUAUCCAGGCAAGAGCCGCUUAUCCCUUGUGUGGAAAAUGACAUUCCACAGAGCCCCCUUCCACCACUGCUGGCUUCUUUUAGAAUUGAAACUCAGAACAAAGGGGUGAGAAGAGACAAACAACAAAGGACCUGACACUUUGUGAAGAAUGACAGCAAUGCCUAUGAGACUGUGACCUCUUUCAGCAUAAGGACCAUUCAACUAUUUCUACUCUCCUGAACCUGUCAUUCAGUCAAAAAUCUGUUGAAAAGAACAUUGCCUAUUGCCUCAGUGCUGGAUCUGGAAAACAUACUGAAAACAAUGGUGCUAUGCUGUCCUGAUGGAGGAAAUUGCAACAGCAGAGAAAGAAGCAAUGAAAAAACAUACCCUGGUUGAAGAAUUCUUUUUUUUUAAUGCAGCAAUAAUGCCAGCAAAUAAUUGAGAACUCUGGGUGAAGAGAUGCCAAAGAGAGACAGCAUUCCUCCCUUUAAGGCCAUCUAAUCACAAAAUUCAGACUGACGUCAAAGGAACCUGAUUAAUUAACCUUCAAGAUCUCAAUUCAAUGAUUAUCCAGUAUGUAAAGAAGAGUAAUUAUUGAAGUUUACCCAAAUGUUCCCAUAAUGAAGAUUCACUGUGGAUGAUACAUUAAUGCAUUAAAAGCAGAAUAUGAAAAUUCAAAGGAAAUAACUUCAAUACUAAAAUUUGGGUAUUCCCAAAGGUGUCCAUGUGGGGAAAUCUAAUACAGGAAGUGAUAACAAAGUGCUUCGCUUAAGUUUGAAGCCUGUUUGUGCUUGAGGAAGAAAUGAGAAAUGAGCUGAAUAAAAGAACGUGUGAAAGCCAAGGACGCAGCCACCACGCUGUAAGAAAACCAAGCCACAUGGAGGGGCCACGUGUCCUGCCAGCAUCUUUGCCAACAGCCCCAGUAAGCUCCCUGCUGACGGUGUCGCAGCAACAUUUGCCAUCAUGUGAAUGAGUCACCUGAAUGUCCAGCCUAAUUGUACCUUCAGAGACACCAGCCUCAGCUUCCAACUGAAACCCAGGAGACAUCAAAUGAGAACCACCCAGAAAACUAUAGUGGACUUGAAAAAUAGGAACCUGAUAUGUGCCCGUUCUUCUGUGCGAAAAGAAAAAUGUUUUACCUUUCAUUUAAAGAAGACUGUUGUUACAGGCUAUUUGGUGAGUAAUACAAUUUUGAAGAUGGUAUCUCUAACAAGAAAAAAAUAAUUUAAAAAACCCUGCCCUUUUCCUUUAUCCCAGCGGUCUCUCCAACAAGACUGUUACGUUUUAAGUAUUAGUCACAAUUAUACCAAUAAGACGACUCUGAAGAAGAA